RNAcentral lists this ribosomal RNA (246 nucleotides) under uncultured bacterium. RNAcentral's name for it is "partial 16S ribosomal RNA". It matches the Rfam family "Bacterial small subunit ribosomal RNA", at positions 15 to 260 of the family's 1533-position model. The record is from RNAcentral.
GAUCAUGGCUCAGGACGAACGCUGGCGGCGUGCCUAACACAUGCAAGUCGAACGGAAGCAAAGAUUUCGGUUUUUGCUUUAGUGGCGAACGGGUGAGUAACGCGUGAGGAACCUGCCUUUCAGUGGGGGACAACAGUUGGAAACGACUGCUAAUACCGCAUAAUGCUUUUGAGUGGCAUCACUUAAAAGCCAAAGAUUUAUUGCUGAAAGAUGGCCUCGCGUCUGAUUAGCUAGUUGGUGGGGUAA